GACGAACGCUGGCGGCGUGCUUAACACAUGCAAGUCGAACGGAAAGGCCCUGCUUGCAGGGUACUCGAGUGGCGAACGGGUGAGUAACACGUGGGUGAUCUGCCCUGCACUUCGGGAUAAGCCUGGGAAACUGGGUCUAAUACCGGAUAGGAGCCAUUUUUAGUGUGAUGGUUGGAAAGUUUUUUCGGUGUAGGAUGAGCUCGCGGCCUAUCAGCUUGUUGGUGGGGUAAUGGCCUACCAGGGCGGCGACGGGUAGCCGGCCUGAGAGGGUGGACGGCCACAUUGGGACUGAGAUAUGGCCCAGACUCCUACGGGAGGCAGCAGUGGGGAAUAUUGCACAAUGGGCGCAAGCCUGAUGCAGCGACGCCGCGUGGGGGAUGACGGCCUUCGGGUUGUAAACGCCUUUCGCUAGGGACGAAGCUUUUUGUGACGGUACCUAGAUAAGAAGCACCGGCUAACUACGUG
This 465-nucleotide ribosomal RNA is filed under the name uncultured bacterium. RNAcentral describes it as "partial 16S ribosomal RNA". It matches the Rfam family "Bacterial small subunit ribosomal RNA", at positions 28 to 507 of the family's 1533-position model. The record is from RNAcentral.